GCUUUCGUGGUCUAGGGGUGAUGACGUCUCCUUUACACGGAGAAGAUCGUGGGUUCGAUUCCCACCGAGAGUA
Molecule: transfer RNA, 73 nt
Organism: Fragilariopsis cylindrus CCMP1102
Lineage: Eukaryota; Bacillariophyta; Bacillariophyceae; Bacillariales; Bacillariaceae
Rfam family: tRNA
About the family: Transfer RNA (tRNA) molecules are approximately 80 nucleotides in length. Their secondary structure includes four short double-helical elements and three loops (D, anti-codon, and T loops). Further hydrogen bonds mediate the characteristic L-shaped molecular structure. tRNAs have two regions of fundamental functional importance: the anti-codon, which is responsible for specific mRNA codon recognition, and the 3' end, to which the tRNAs corresponding amino acid is attached (by aminoacyl-tRNA synthetases). tRNAs cope with the degeneracy of the genetic code in two manners: having more than one tRNA (with a specific anti-codon) for a particular amino acid; and 'wobble' base-pairing, i.e. permitting non-standard base-pairing at the 3rd anti-codon position.
Source: Rfam